CCUACGGGAGGCAGCAGUAGGGAAUGUUGCGCAAUGGGCGAAAGCCUGAUGCAGCAACACCGCGUGAGUGCUAAGGUCUUUGGGGUGUUAAGUUCUGUUAAUCGGGGCGAAAAUUGACAGUACCUAUACAGGAAGCACCGGCUAACUCCGUGCCAGCAGCCGCGGUAAUACGUAGGGGGCAAGCGUUAUCCGGAAUUAUUGGGCGUAAAGGGUUCGUAGGCGGCUAAGUAAGUCUGACGUUAAAGCCCGGGGCUAAACCCCGGGACUGCAUUGGAUACUUUCUAGCUAGAAUGUAGUAGAGGUAGAGGGAAUUCCUGGUGUAGCGGUGAAAUGCGUAGAUAUCAGGAGGAACAUCGGUGGCGAAGGCGCCUUACUGGACUAAUACUGACGUUGAGGAACGAAAGCCUGGGGAGCAAACAGGAUUAGAUACCCUGGUAGUC
This 440-nucleotide ribosomal RNA is filed under the name uncultured bacterium. Its description in RNAcentral is "partial 16S ribosomal RNA". It matches the Rfam family "Bacterial small subunit ribosomal RNA", at positions 338 to 795 of the family's 1533-position model. The record is from RNAcentral.